UCAAAUUAUCAAAAAGUAAGGGUUGAACUAAACCAGCUGCAACUGAAAAGAGAAAAUAAGAGCUAGUAGCUAUGCCUGCAAAACAGAAACAAGGUUAACGACUAAAACAAAAUCAGAAACUGGUUAGAAGGUUAGUAAAGAAAAUUGUUAGUAAACAUGUUGUCAAAAUCAAGUCAGCAAAUAGCACUAAAAAAUAAAAAUAAAAGCUAACAGGUAAAACUAAC
Molecule: long non-coding RNA, 224 nt
Filed under: Vigna radiata
Lineage: Eukaryota; Viridiplantae; Streptophyta; Magnoliopsida; Fabales; Fabaceae
Description: long non-coding RNA (VRAD_LNC000234)
Source: RNAcentral